Molecule: ribosomal RNA, 479 nt
Filed under: uncultured bacterium
Lineage: Bacteria
Description: partial 16S ribosomal RNA
Rfam family: Bacterial small subunit ribosomal RNA
Source: RNAcentral
GAUGAACGCUAACGGGAGGCCUAACACAUGCAAGCCGAGCGGUAGAGUUUCUUCGGAAACUUGAGAGCGGCGCACGGGUGCGUAACACGUGUGCAACCUACCUUUAUCUGGGGGAUAGCCUUUCGAAAGGAAGAUUAAUACCCCAUAAUAUAAUGAUUGGCAUCAAUUAUUAUUGAAAACUCCGGUGGAUAGAGAUGGGCACGCGCAAGAUUAGAUAGUUGGUGAGGUAACGGCUCACCAAGUCAAUGAUCUUUAGGGGUCCUGAGAGGGAGAUCCCCCACACUGGUACUGAGACACGGACCAGACUCCUACGGGAGGCAGCAGUGAGGAAUAUUGGACAAUGGGUGAGAGCCUGAUCCAGCCAUCCCGCGUGAAGGAUGACGGUCCUAUGGAUUGUAAACUUCUUUUGUACAGGGAUAAACCUACCCUCGUGAGGGUAGCUGAAGGUACUGUACGAAUAAGCACCGGCUAACUCCGUG